Molecule: ribosomal RNA, 482 nt
Filed under: uncultured bacterium
Lineage: Bacteria
Description: partial 16S ribosomal RNA
Rfam family: Bacterial small subunit ribosomal RNA
Source: RNAcentral
AUUGAACGCUGGCGGCAUGCUUUACACAUGCAAGUCGAACGGUAACAGGCCGCAAGGUGCUGACGAGUGGCGAACGGGUGCGUAAUGCAUCGGAACGUGCCCAGUCGUGGGGGAUAACUACUCGAAAGAGUAGCUAAUACCGCAUACGAUCUAUGGAUGAAAGCGGGGGACCGUAAGGCCUCGCGCGAUUGGAGCGGCCGAUGUCAGAUUAGGUAGUUGGUGGGGUAAAGGCUCACCAAGCCAACGAUCUGUAGCUGGUCUGAGAGGACGACCAGCCACACUGGGACUGAGACACGGCCCAGACUCCUACGGGAGGCAGCAGUGGGGAAUUUUGGACAAUGGGCGCAAGCCUGAUCCAGCAAUGCCGCGUGCAGGAAGAUGGCCUUCGGGUUGUAAACUGCUUUUGUACGGAACGAAACGGCUCUGGUUAAUACCCGGGGCUAAUGACGGUACCGUAAGAAUAAGCACCGGCUAACUACGUG